CAGCCUUCCUGCAUACCUUCAUCCAAGAGAGAUGGCCCCAGUUUUGGAAGGAGCCACCGUGCCAGGACCUGUCUGCAGGGCUGAGAGCUGUGAUGAUGAGCAGCAGAAGCAUUUCACGGGCAAUUGGAGAUAAAUACCAGCGCCGUGCAAUGAACAGCAAGAGACAGCUGCAGGUAGGGGCUGGGACAGUGCCUGUGCAGAGCAGGGGGGGCUGUGAGCUCUCUUAUCUCAGUGCCCCCAGCCACGCUCCCAUUGCUCACAGGGCUGGGGAUCACCCCUUGUCACAGGGCUGCCCACAGGACAGACAGACAGGUGGGGUGGUCACCACACAGAGGGUGCUGAGCAUCCCUGGGGCAAACAGGAGGAUGGAGACAGGAGGAGGGGGGGCAUUUUGGAGCCCAGCAGCCAAAUGGGCACAGCUGUAGCCCGGUCUCAGAGAGCUCAGCUAAGGAAGGCUCUCCCUCUGCAAGCUGCUCAUAUUUACUCAUCUGCUUAAUGAACUCCACUUGGAGCAGCUGCAGGGAUGAGUCACGCAGUAUUUCAAGGCAGCAAGUAGUGACAGUGCUGUGCUGGCGUCAGGUGCAGCUCAGGCCAGGGGGCAGGGAGUACCAUGCAGUUUGGGAUCUCAUUCUCAGCACUCUGAGCAGAAGGCUGAGCAAUGCUUGCUGGAUGGCUGUGAGCCCCUUUUUCUUCUUUGGGCUGUGACAAAGUGUGACCUGUGCCUUUCCUUGCUGUGGACCGGUGCCCUGAUACAGCCCUUCUGUUGUGCUGCCCUUGGGGACAUGGCCAGCAGCACGUGGUGACCUUGGAGCUGCCAAACCCACAGUCCCAGGGAGGAUGCUGGGAUCCCUGCGCUCCCAGGGCUGGGAAUGCAAACCCAGCAAAGAAGCUUGAUGCCUUUAAAUCCCCCAUCAAAGCACUUUCCCUUCAGUUGCAUUCACCAUUAGACACCCUUCAAGUGUUAGCAAUAUUAUGCCACAAUUUCAUUAUCCAUUAAAGCCAGGUAAUAAUAAGUACACCAAGGUAUUUGGAGCCCAUUGGCGUUAAUGGAGGAGAUCCAUCUCAUUCCGAGCAGGUACAGCAGCCGCGCGUCAGAGAUGCGAUAUUACCCAAGGUGAGGCAGGAAUUGCCUUGCUGAGAGCAAACCCAACAGUAUUUAAUCUUGCAUGCCUGUCUUUAUGGCACAGUGUGAGCCUGGUGCCCGAUUUGCUGCUUUUCUCCCCCUUUUAUUUUGCUGCUGCACCUUCCUGACCUGGUUAGGUGGGAACACACCCCAGUUCAGGGGCAUUUCUUCCUAUCCUUGCUUUUUAGGGGAGGCUUGGUGCAUCCCCAGCAGUAGAGGUGCACCAGGAGCUGUGCAAAUGCCAAGCACUUUAAGGCACAAGCAUUUCAAAAUGGAAUUUCUCAUCAGUGCCUGCUGCUUUU
RNAcentral lists this long non-coding RNA (1425 nucleotides) under Phasianus colchicus (ring-necked pheasant). RNAcentral's name for it is "lncRNA (ENSPCLG00000011159.1)". The record is from RNAcentral. Lineage: Eukaryota; Metazoa; Chordata; Aves; Galliformes; Phasianidae.